CAGAGAAUAGUUUAAUUUAAGAUAUUAAUUUUGGAGAUUAAUGAUAAAAGGUUUCUUUUUUCUCUGA
Molecule: transfer RNA, 67 nt
Filed under: Cymbiodyta marginella
Lineage: Eukaryota; Metazoa; Arthropoda; Insecta; Coleoptera; Hydrophilidae
Description: tRNA-Pro
Source: RNAcentral